RNAcentral lists this ribosomal RNA (507 nucleotides) under Gobius niger (black goby). Its description in RNAcentral is "partial 12S ribosomal RNA". It matches the Rfam family "Bacterial small subunit ribosomal RNA", at positions 794 to 1529 of the family's 1533-position model. Lineage: Eukaryota; Metazoa; Chordata; Actinopteri; Gobiiformes; Gobiidae. The record is from RNAcentral.
GCCUAGACGUAAACAGAAGUGACCCCCCACCUCGUCAUUCGCCCGGGUACAACGAGCCCAAGCUUAAAACCCAAAGGACUUGGCGGUGCUUUAGACCCCCCUAGAGGAGCCUGUUCUAGAAUCGAUUCUCCCCGUUCAACCUCACCCCCCCUUGUUCUCCCCGCCUAUAUACCGCCGUCGUCAGCUUACCCUGUGAAGGAAGAGAAGUAAGCAGAAUUGGCACAGCCCAAAAAGUCAGGUCGAGGUGUAGCGUAUGGAGGGGAAAGAAAUGGGCUACAUUUGCUGAGCCAGCAAAUACGGAUUUUGCACUGAAAUUAGAGCACAUGAAGGAGGAUUUAGUAGUAAGGAGGAAGUAGAGCGUCCCCCUGAACCCGGCCCUGAAGCGCGCACACACCGCCCGUCACUCUCCCCAAACGACCAAUAAUCAUAAUUAAUAUAACACCAAAUACUAAGGGGAGGUAAGUCGUAACAUGGUAAGUGUACCGGAAGGUGUACUUGGACAAAACC